UACAGAGGUCUCAAGCGUUGUUCGGAUUCAUUGGGCGUAAAGGGUGCGUAGGCGGCGCGGUAAGUCGGGUGUGAAAUCUCGGAGCUUAACUCCGAAACUGCAUUCGAUACUGCCGUGCUUGAGGACUGGAGAGGAGACUGGAAUUUACGGUGUAGCGGUGAAAUGCGUAGAUAUCGUAAGGAAGACCAGUGGCGAGGGCGGGUCUCUGGACAGUUCCUGACACUGAGGCACGAAGGCCAGGGGAGCAAACGGG
Molecule: ribosomal RNA, 253 nt
Filed under: uncultured bacterium
Lineage: Bacteria
Description: partial 16S ribosomal RNA
Rfam family: Bacterial small subunit ribosomal RNA
Source: RNAcentral